AAGGAAGAUUAGCACGGGCCCGUGCAAGGAUGACAUGCAAAUACGUGAAGCGUUUCAUACUUUU
This 64-nucleotide small nuclear RNA is filed under the name Loxodonta africana (African savanna elephant). Lineage: Eukaryota; Metazoa; Chordata; Mammalia; Proboscidea; Elephantidae. The record is from RNAcentral.